RNAcentral lists this non-coding RNA (1052 nucleotides) under Porphyromonas sp. oral taxon 279 str. F0450. RNAcentral's name for it is "Bacterial small subunit ribosomal RNA". It matches the Rfam family "Bacterial small subunit ribosomal RNA", at positions 469 to 1533 of the family's 1533-position model. Lineage: Bacteria; Pseudomonadati; Bacteroidota; Bacteroidia; Bacteroidales; Porphyromonadaceae. The record is from Rfam by way of RNAcentral.
CUGCAUGUACCGUAUGAAUAAGCAUCGGCUAACUCCGUGCCAGCAGCCGCGGUAAUACGGAGGAUGCGAGCGUUAUCCGGAUUUAUUGGGUUUAAAGGGUGCGUAGGCGGCCUGUUAAGUCAGCGGUGAAAUCUAGGAGCUUAACUCCUAAAUUGCCAUUGAUACUGGCGGGCUUGAGUGUAGAUGAGGUAGGCGGAAUGCGUGGUGUAGCGGUGGAAUGCAUAGAUAUCACGCAGAACUCCGAUUGCGAAGGCAGCUUACUAAGGUACAACUGACGCUGAAGCACGAAAGCGUGGGUAUCAAACAGGAUUAGAUACCCUGGUAGUCCACGCAGUAAACGAUGAUAACUGGGCGUAUGCGAUAUACAGUAUGCUCCUAAGCGAAAGCGUUAAGUUAUCCACCUGGGGAGUACGCCGGCAACGGUGAAACUCAAAGGAAUUGACGGGGGCCCGCACAAGCGGAGGAACAUGUGGUUUAAUUCGAUGAUACGCGAGGAACCUUACCCGGGAUUGAAAUGUAGAUGACCGCUCCUGAAAGGGAGUUUUCCUUCGGGACAUCUAUGUAGGUGCUGCAUGGUUGUCGUCAGCUCGUGCCGUGAGGUGUCGGCUUAAGUGCCAUAACGAGCGCAACCCCUGUCUACGGUUGCCAUCAGGUAAUGCUGGGAACUCCGUAGAGACUGCCGUCGUAAGGCGUGAGGAAGGUGGGGAUGACGUCAAAUCAGCACGGCCCUUACAUCCGGGGCGACACACGUGUUACAAUGGUAAGGACAAAGGGCAGCUACCUGGCGACAGGAUGCGAAUCUCUAAACCUUAUCACAGUUCGGAUCGGAGUCUGCAACUCGACUCCGUGAAGCUGGAUUCGCUAGUAAUCGCGCAUCAGCCAUGGCGCGGUGAAUACGUUCCCGGGCCUUGUACACACCGCCCGUCAAGCCAUGGGAGUCUGGAGUACCUAAAGUCCGUAACCGCGAGGGUCGGCCUAGGGUAAUACAGGUGACUGGGGCUAAGUCGUAACAAGGUAGCCGUACCGGAAGGUGCGGCUGGAACACCUCCUUU